Molecule: long non-coding RNA, 2627 nt
Organism: Ictalurus punctatus (channel catfish)
Lineage: Eukaryota; Metazoa; Chordata; Actinopteri; Siluriformes; Ictaluridae
Source: Ensembl
AUCAUAUCAAAGAGUGUUUGAACACAAUGUGAGGACAUCUGUCCAAAAGUUGAAGGUGAACCAAAAGUGGACCUUGCAACAGGAUAAUGAUCCUAAGCACACUAGCAAAUCCACCAAGGAAUGGCUCAAAAAGAAUAAAUGGAAGGUUGGAAAAGAAAUUGAAUGGAUUAGACAAAGCCCGGAUUUGAAUUCCAUUGAAACAUUGUGGGGGAUCUGAAAUGGGCAGUAUAUUCAAGAAAACCCUCAAACAUCUUGCCAUGAAAAUGAAAGUGCUGCCCAGAUCCAUUAAUGGGACCAAGACCUGGGGUUGCAUAUCAUGACUUACAAAUGAUGAUCUUAAAGAAGGGUUUUUAGGUUUAAACCCUCAAAUCUACAGUGCGACAGCAAACGUCAUCCAUCUUCUGAACAAACAAGUAAUUAGAGUACUGUUUGUUUUGAAGCUAGCACCAGAACUUGAGUAUUCCUGUGACAUUUUCAUCAGGCCCCCCUGAUCUGAUUUAAUUCCUGCCCUGAUGUAGUUGAGCAAUGUUUUAGGUUGUAAAGCAUCCUGUUGCCAGCCACUUCCCUUUUAAGUAUGCUCUAUGACAGUGGUCACCAGCCCUGUUCAUGGAGAUCUACCUUCCUGAAGACUUUAGCUCCAACCAUAAUCAUGCCCAGCUGAUCAUCUAAUUAUUGCAUUAAAAAGUUUUUGAUCAACUAAAUCAGGUGUGUUCGAUUUUGGUUGGAGAUUAAACCUGCAGCAAGAUACUGUAGAUCUCAAGGAAGACUGUUUGUGACCAGUGGUCUGUGGGAACCUCAAGUGGCAGGAGGGAUGUUGUUCUCUGCCUGCCCCAUGAGACAAACUUAUAGCCAGUACAUGCCAUGUCUGAUGCAAUAUCACUCAAGUUAUCACUCAAGUAUCAAGUUCACUCACUCACUGGAAUGUCAUUCCUGUAUCUGUAUAUUCAGAGCUUUAGUAGUGCUUCAUGUGGAAAGACCACCAGCCAUGCAACACAAUCAUCAGCUUGCAGGCAUGUGGCCCAGCCUGACCUGCUUGUGAUUCCUCAACAUUCAUAAUCCUUACACUGAGUCAUAGAGAAUUCUUUUGCAACUAGCUCUGUAUGAGAAAGAGCAUUCAGUGGUGUGGCUUGUGUAGCAUUACACAAGAAUGGUUCCCAUGGUUAGUUUAGGGCAAUGGCCGUGGAGUCUGGGAGCAUGCUGAGGCUGAUUCAGAUCCAUUUUUGCCCACUGCUGAGGCUAGUAAUAAGAAUGGUGGUUUGACUACUGGGUCAGUAUCAGCAUGGAAGAAUCCGGAAGGUUCAAUGAGGAACUUGGAAAAUGAGCUCCCAGGAGCGGCAUGGACCGUCGUCAUCAUCAUCAUCAAUGUUAUCCUCCUCCUCAGCUGGACACUUGAGCUGUCAAUCCAAAUCUCACUAACCAAUGAGACUGUUAAACCCCACCCACAGGUACAAUUGGUGCCAGAAUGGCGAAUGUUAACUUGCUUAAAUGAAAACUCACUGUUUUCAGUUUCAGUGUUCUUUUCUUCUCUCUCAAUGUAUAUAUUUGUUCUUUUCUUGCAAAGAUAUGUUCAAUACCUUCAGCACAAAUUUAAUUCCAUACAAUAAGAGCACAUUGAGAAUAAAUGUUCUUGGGUGAGCACAGGAAAAUCUUGAUUACAAAAGCAGUUCUCUGAUACAAAUCUACAGUAUCCAGGUGAGAUUAUCUGCUAAAGCAAAGGUGAGUUCAAAGUGCAAAUUUUUAAGGUAUCCAUGCGGGACCACCCACAGCAGCAGAAGGUGAGUCACAAGACCAUCUAAAGACCUCACUGGCCUGGUCAAAACAUGUCUGAGCUUCAAUCCAGCACAUCUUUUCUCUCCCUCUGCUGGGAUUUUGCCAGUUAGCUAGUUCUUAGCUAUUUGCUAGAAAUUGCACUGUCUGUCCAGACAAGGCCUGGAGCUACAGAGCAGCAGAGACAUGAGCAGCAGAGACCUCAGCAGAACACUACAUGUCCUGCCUAGCCCAAAGCUGCCUCAUCUCUUCAUCUUUUAUCUGCUGGCUGCCUGCCCUGCAUCGGCCAUAUUUACUACACAUGAUAGAAAGAGAGAGAGCAAGACAAGAGGUGCAAAAACUUGUUCAAAUUCUAUUCUGUCCUAAUUUUCCUCAUGCAGUGUAAAUAUGACAAAUAUAACAAAUACUUAUUAAAAACUAUACUUCAGUAAAAGAACAAAGACAAAUGUUAACACAGUGAGCACUAUAUGGGCUACUCUGUAGAUGCUUGUCUUAACAUGUAUGCCCACACACACAUACACACUUCUCUCUAUGCCUUAACCUACCUAACAGGAAUUAUGAUCAUAAUCAGCCCACACACCAGUACCAGAACCAAGACAACUGAACUAAUCCUGGAGCCACACCUCAGUCACCCCGACACACACACAGACACACACACACACAGAAUCAGACACAGCCAGCAGUGCCUCUCUUUGAAAGGCUUUCUGAGAUAAGCAAAAUCUGUAUUUGAUCCGUCACCAGGAUCUGAGGUUGGAGAGAGCGUUUGAAGUGAUAUCUCUGUCAUUGCUUUCCACAUAAUACUAUUACCACUAGAAACCCUACUGUCUUUUCCUGAUGGAUUCUCAAGCAUUGAAGCCGAG